Molecule: non-coding RNA, 152 nt
Organism: Gossypium raimondii (Peruvian cotton)
Lineage: Eukaryota; Viridiplantae; Streptophyta; Magnoliopsida; Malvales; Malvaceae
Source: Rfam
UAUGAAAAAUUUUAUCUAUUUCUAUUGUUAAAAAUUUACGUGGUUGACAGAAUAACUAAAUAGUUAUUGAUGGUGUGCCAAAUAUACCGCAUUUUAACGUACAGACUACAGAGUCUUAUUUUUAAGAAUAAAAAUAGAUGAAAAUUUUAAUA